Molecule: long non-coding RNA, 255 nt
Organism: Nerophis ophidion (straightnose pipefish)
Lineage: Eukaryota; Metazoa; Chordata; Actinopteri; Syngnathiformes; Syngnathidae
Exons: 3
Source: RefSeq, a predicted model, not a curated record
CAGGCCUCAGGGGGCAGUGCGCAUACGUGGCUGUGGAAGAAGGAGACCAGCCUCCCUCUGAUGAUUUUUUACGCCCCUGUGGAGCACAGCUAAAUGAGGUUGGCACUGUUGUAAUAGAAGCCGUCUCAGGUGUCCCGCCUGAUGUUUUCUUGCAUUUGCUGACCGAUUUGUCUUCGUAUUUGCUCUAAUGGCGAGUCCAAGGCCUCAGCAUUAUCCAAACUGACACACCUUGCUGGACGAUGCCACAUCACCUGG